This is a regulatory RNA element of Acidovorax temperans, 151 nucleotides long. It matches the Rfam family "ZMP/ZTP riboswitch aptamer (pfl RNA motif)". Rfam says of the family: Previously known as pfl RNA. ZMP is also known as AICAR. The record is from Rfam. Lineage: Bacteria; Pseudomonadati; Pseudomonadota; Betaproteobacteria; Burkholderiales; Comamonadaceae.
ACGGGGGUACGCGACUGGCGAUAGGCGUGGCACUUUUCAGGUGUCACCGCUGACGUGGAAAACAACAAGAUCCGUCAUCUUGUGAACCACUGGGGAGCGUGCCGCGAAGGACCUGGGCCUGAGCGUUCCGCCGUUCGCCUGGGCAGCCCUU